RNAcentral lists this ribosomal RNA (596 nucleotides) under uncultured bacterium. RNAcentral describes it as "bacterial SSU rRNA". It matches the Rfam family "Bacterial small subunit ribosomal RNA", at positions 8 to 585 of the family's 1533-position model. The record is from RNAcentral.
AGACUUUGAUUAUGGCUCAGAUUGAACGCUAGCGGGAUGCUUUACACAUGCAAGUCGAACGGCAGCACGAGAUAAGCUUGCUUAUCUUGGUGGCGAGUGGCGAACGGGUGAGUAAUGUAUCGGAACGUGCCCAGUAGCGGGGGAUAACUACGCGAAAGCGUGGCUAAUACCGCAUACGCCCUACGGGGGAAAGGGGGGGAUCCUUCGGGACCUCUCACUAUUGGAGCGGCCGAUAUCAGAUUAGCUAGUUGGUGGGGUAAUGGCCUACCAAGGCCGCGAUCUGUAGCUGGUUUGAGAGGACGACCAGCCACACUGGGACUGAGACACGGCCCAGACUCCUACGGGAGGCACGCAGUGGGGAAUUUUGGACAAUGGGGGCAACCCUGAUCCAGCCAUCCCGCGUGUGCGAUGAAGGCCUUCGGGUUGUAAAGCACUUUUGGCAGGGAACGAAAAUGGCACGGGCUAAUAUCCUGUGUCGCUGACGGUACCUGCAGAAUAAAGCACCGGCUAACUACGUGCCAGCAGCCGCGGUAAUACGUAGGGUGCAAGCGUUAAUCGGAAUUACUGGGCGUCAAGCGUGCGUCGGCGGUUUGGCC